AUUCAUCAAGGGUCAACCAGUUUCCCCUACAAAAAAAUACUGAGGGAAAGAAUCAGGGAGGUUUGUUUAAAAAAGCAUUAGACAUUACUGAAACAAUGAUAAAAAUACCACUUGGAACCAUAUAAUUGUCCAACAGAAAGAAGUCUUGAUAGCCAUUAUUCUUUGUUUAAAAAUAGGGUUUCAGUUAGUCGAAAGCCAGACUGCACAAAUACUUAACAUAUAUGGUUUGAUUUCAAUAUGUGUUUGAAAACAUUACAAAAUAUGCUGAAUAUUUAGAUUCUACAUCAUUGUUAAUUUAGGAUUUAGGAAUUUGUGUAAUGCUUCAUGUAACAAUGUUCAGCCAUUCAUUACGUACAUUUGUACUUCACAAAUUGUGUUUUCAGUAAUUUCACAUUUUCUUGUCAUCACAUUAAGUUAAUUAAAAACCAAAGAUCGAAAUUUUCUACAUUUUAAAAAUUUUAUGGAUAGCAUGACAAUUUUAUAAUGCUUAUAUGUAAGAGUUAGACCUGCUGACUUAUUAUUUCACUUUAUUGUGUGAAUUCACUUGGACUUACUGUUGUAUUUACAGUUCAGUGUGUGUAAUAUUGCCAUUUGUCGAAAGAACAUUUGAUUAAUUUGUCUUUCUGUCUUUGCUAAGGGCCAUGCCGAGUUGUUGGUGCAGUGGCAUCCUUGCUCUGGAUGUGGGGCAAAGUGGAAAAACUCCUGGGAGCCAAAAUAAAAUGUACAAAUUUAACACCAUCUCGAAAAUGCGUGUGUGCAUGUAUUGUUUGUUGCUGUGUGUUCCAUUCAGAAUUGUUUAUAUGAAGAUAUUUUCAUACAUUGUUUUUUUUAUAACUGAUUUUGAUUUGUCAGAUUAAUUCCUGUAGUGAAUCUUGACAAUAUGUUCAUGAGUUCUGUCUGUUAUGUCACUGCUUUAUAAAGUGCAUGAGGUAAAUUUUCUGUAUUUUAGGAGACUGGAUAUUUUUCAAAUAAAACAUUUUGAAAUAACAUACCUGUCGCUGACUGUGUUCCUUCAUAUACACUUGAUUUUAAUGAUUGUUUAAAAUCUG
Molecule: long non-coding RNA, 1049 nt
Filed under: Sparus aurata (gilthead seabream)
Lineage: Eukaryota; Metazoa; Chordata; Actinopteri; Spariformes; Sparidae
Description: lncRNA (ENSSAUG00010007135.1)
Source: RNAcentral